GGGGGGAUCCAAUUAUAGUUGGCGGGCUGGACCUCUCGGGGUUACAGCCUUGCUGAAUUAUUCACCCUUGUCUUUUGCGUACUUCUUGUUUCCUUGGUGGGUUCGCCCACCACUAGGACAAACAUAAACCUUUUGUAAUUGCAAUCAGCGUCAGUAACAAAUUAAUAAUUACAACUUUCAACAACGGAUCUCUUGGUUCUGGCAUCGAUGAAGAACGCAGCGAAAUGCGAUAAGUAGUGUGAAUUGCAGAAUUCAGUGAAUCAUCGAAUCUUUGAACGCACAUUGCGCCCUUUGGUAUUCCAAAGGGCAUGCCUGUUCGAGCGUCAUUUGUACCCUCAAGCUUUGCUUGGUGUUGGGCGUCUUGUCUCUAGCUUUGCUGGAGACUCGCCUUAAAGUAAUUGGCAGCCGGCCUACUGGUUUCGGAGCGCAGCACAAGUCGCACUCUCUAUCAGCAAAGGUCUAGCAUCCAUUAAGCCUUUUUUUCAACUUUUGACCUCGGAUCAGGUAGGGAUACCCGCUGAACUUAAGCAUAUCAAUAAGGCGGAGGAA
Molecule: ribosomal RNA, 549 nt
Filed under: Alternaria tenuissima
Lineage: Eukaryota; Fungi; Ascomycota; Dothideomycetes; Pleosporales; Pleosporaceae
Description: eukaryotic LSU rRNA
Rfam family: 5.8S ribosomal RNA (bases 173-326)
Source: RNAcentral